UUCCUGAUGGUCCGGUGACUAAGACUCUGUGCUCCCAAUGCAGGGGGCGCAGGUUCGAGCCCUGGUCAGGGAA
Molecule: non-coding RNA, 73 nt
Organism: Bos taurus (domestic cattle)
Lineage: Eukaryota; Metazoa; Chordata; Mammalia; Artiodactyla; Bovidae
Source: Rfam